RNAcentral lists this ribosomal RNA (497 nucleotides) under uncultured bacterium. RNAcentral describes it as "partial 16S ribosomal RNA". It matches the Rfam family "Bacterial small subunit ribosomal RNA", at positions 28 to 507 of the family's 1533-position model. The record is from RNAcentral.
GAUGAACGCUGGCGGCGUGCCUAAUACAUGCAAGUCGAGCGAACAGACGAGGAGCUUGCUCCUCUGACGUUAGCGGCGGACGGGUGAGUAACACGUGGAUAACCUACCUAUAAGACUGGGAUAACUUCGGGAAACCGGAGCUAAUACCGGAUGAUAUUUUGAACCGCAUGGUUCAAUAGUGAAAGACGGUUUUGCUGUCACUUAUAGAUGGAUCCGCGCCGCAUUAGCUAGUUGGUAAGGUAACGGCUUACCAAGGCAACGAUGCAUAGCCGACCUGAGAGGGUGAUCGGCCACACUGGAACUGAGACACGGUCCAGACUCCUACGGGAGGCAGCAGUAGGGAAUCUUCCGCAAUGGGCGAAAGCCUGACGGAGCAACGCCGCGUGAGUGAUGAAGGUCUUCGGAUCGUAAAACUCUGUUAUUAGGGAAGAACAUAUGUGUAAGUAACUAUGCACGUCUUGACGGUACCUAAUCAGAAAGCCACGGCUAACUACGUG